ACCCGCACAAGCGUGGAUGAUGUGGAUUAAUUCGAUGCAACGCGAAGAACCUUACCUACCCUUGACAUGUCCGGAACUUGCCAGAGAUGGCUUGGUGCCCGAAAGGGAAUCGGAACACAGGUGCUGCAUGGCUGUCGUCAGCUCGUGUCGUGAGAUGUUGGGUUAAGUCCCGCAACGAGCGCAACCCUUAUCAUUAGUUGCUACGCAAGGGCACUCUAAUGAGACUGCCGGUGACAAACCGGAGGAAGGUGGGGAUGACGUCAAGUCCUCAUGGCCCUUAUGGGUAGGGCUUCACACGUCAUACAAUGGUCGGUACAGAGGGUUGCCAAGCCGCGAGGCGGAGCCAAUCCCACAAAGCCGAUCGUAGUCCGGAUUGUUCUCUGCAACUCGAGAGCAUGAAGUCGGAAUCGCUAGUAAUCGCAGGUCAGCAUACUGCGGUGAAUACGUUCCCGGGCCUU
RNAcentral lists this ribosomal RNA (458 nucleotides) under uncultured Thiobacillus sp. Its description in RNAcentral is "bacterial SSU rRNA". It matches the Rfam family "Bacterial small subunit ribosomal RNA", at positions 919 to 1382 of the family's 1533-position model. Lineage: Bacteria; Pseudomonadati; Pseudomonadota; Betaproteobacteria; Nitrosomonadales; Thiobacillaceae. The record is from RNAcentral.